Molecule: ribosomal RNA, 662 nt
Rfam family: 5.8S ribosomal RNA (bases 248-401)
CCGCAGCGACUGCGGAGGACAUUAUCGAGUUUUUGAAGGGGUUGUAGCUGGCCUUCCGAGGCAUAUAAUAUGUGCACACCCUGCUCAAUCCCACUCUCUACACCUGUGCACUUACUGUGGGUUUCUCCGAGGUGGCAGAGCGGGCCUUUUUUCUUGGCCUGCGAAGCCCUUCUGGGCCUGCGUUUUUAUUAUAAACUCUAAAGUGAUCAGAAUGUGUGCAAUGCGCGAUGUAAACGCAUCUAUAUACAACUUUCAGCAACGGAUCUCUUGGCUCUCGCAUCGAUGAAGGACGCAGCGAAAUGCGAUAAGUAAUGUGAAUUGCAGAAUUCAGUGAAUCAUCGAAUCUUUGAACGCACCUUGCGCUCCUUGGUAUUCCGAGGAGCAUGCCUGUUUGAGUGUCAUGAACUCCUCAACUCCACGGGCCCUUGUGGGGGUUUGUAGGGUUGGACUUUGGAGGUGUGUUGUCGGCCUGGUGGGGUCGGCUCCUCUUAAAUGCAUUAGUUCUGGUUCCUUGUGGAUCGGCUCUCGGUGUGAUAAAUGUGUCUAUGCUGCGGCCGUGAAGCGUUUGGCGGAGCUUCUUAACUGUCCCCUUGUCCGGACGAUUUAUUGACCUCUGACCUCAAAUCAGGUAGGACUACCCGCUGAACUUAAGCAUAUCAUAA